RNAcentral lists this ribosomal RNA (497 nucleotides) under uncultured bacterium. RNAcentral's name for it is "partial 16S ribosomal RNA". It matches the Rfam family "Bacterial small subunit ribosomal RNA", at positions 28 to 507 of the family's 1533-position model. The record is from RNAcentral.
GAUGAACGCUGGCGGCGUGCCUAAUACAUGCAAGUCGAGCGAACGGACGAGAAGCUUGCUUCUCUGAUGUUAGCGGCGGACGGGUGAGUAACACGUGGAUAACCUACCUAUAAGACUGGGAUAACUUCGGGAAACCGGAGCUAAUACCGGAUAAUAUUUUGAACCGCAUGGUUCAAAAGUGAAAGACGGUCUUGCUGUCACUUAUAGAUGGAUCCGCGCUGCAUUAGCUAGUUGGUAAGGUAACGGCUUACCAAGGCAACGAUGCAUAGCCGACCUGAGAGGGUGAUCGGCCACACUGGAACUGAGACACGGUCCAGACUCCUACGGGAGGCAGCAGUAGGGAAUCUUCCGCAAUGGGCGAAAGCCUGACGGAGCAACGCCGCGUGAGUGAUGAAGGUCUUCGGAUCGUAAAACUCUGUUAUUAGGGAAGAACAUAUGUUUAAGUAACCGUGCACAUCUUGACGGUACCUAAUCAGAAAGCCACGGCUAACUACGUG